Molecule: long non-coding RNA, 966 nt
Filed under: Homo sapiens (human)
Lineage: Eukaryota; Metazoa; Chordata; Mammalia; Primates; Hominidae
Description: HSALNT0358830
Source: RNAcentral
GCUGCCUGGAACAGAAGAGCAGAGGAUCAGAGGCACCACCAGAGACUCUCAGAGUGGGUUAUUACCCUGGUGGGGGCGCCUGCUGCGGCGUAGGAGAUGGCGGGACUGGGGGCGCGGGUGUGAAGCCCCCAAGAAAUCUGUGUGAAUUUCCUGGGGAGGUAAGGUCUCCAGGCGCUCUCUCUGGGCCCGGGGAUUGGUCCGGGAAGGUCUCCUGGCGCCUACCCAGCCCCCACUGCCUGGACGCCUGCGCCUGCUCUGCCGCCCCACAGCGACCGCGAAGGCCAGCUUCUUCGAAAGGCCCAUUUUUCUCCGUGGCUGAGCGAAUGCUCCUAGAAUACCACGUUUAUAAUAAAUCAUGUAGGGUGGAAUUCCUGCUGGAUGUAUACACCUUUCUGCAUCAGAGCUCUUCAAACCCAGAAUGGUGAAUAGCUACCCCUGGGCUUACCCUUUUAUAAUUUUCAACAAACCUGCGUUUAGCCCCGGCUAGGUGCCAGCAAGUUGCUAGGGACUGAGGAGGCUCUGCAGAGGACCCGAGCUGAGGCCCUAAUCCUCAAGGCCAAUGGCAGGGGUCACCGCCCAGGCACCCCCAGAGAACGCGGUGUGAAGGAAAAGACACCAAACUCGGUGUUCAAAUGUGUGGGAUCUAUUCUAGUUCUGAUUCUGACACUUGCAAGUCAUGCAUCCUCCGAGCCUCGGCUUUCUCACCUAUAAAAUCUUCAACGUGACCUAUAAAAAUCCAUAAAAUCACCCCUGCUUCAUUGUUUCCCAGGGCUCAUAGAAACAUCAUACAAGGUAAGGGAAGGUAGAUGGACCAGGGUGCCCUCUAAGGAUCCCAAGGAAGGGCCUUAAAAGAUGAAGAGGAUGUUGACAGACAGUUACUGAGAAGGAAAAGAGGAGGGCAUCCUAUGCAGACAAAGAGGAGGGUUUCAAGGGAAGUCCUGACAUGUGUCUCCUUCCCUCGUCCCC